This 510-nucleotide ribosomal RNA is filed under the name uncultured soil bacterium. Its description in RNAcentral is "bacterial SSU rRNA". It matches the Rfam family "Bacterial small subunit ribosomal RNA", at positions 26 to 504 of the family's 1533-position model. The record is from RNAcentral.
AGAUUGAACGCUGGCGGCAUGCCUUACACAUGCAAGUCGAACGGCAGCACGGGAGCAAUCCUGGUGGCGAGUGGCGAACGGGUGAGUAAUACAUCGGAACGUGCCCAGUAGUGGGGGAUAGCCCGGCGAAAGCCGGAUUAAUACCGCAUACGACCUAUGGGUGAAAGCGGGGGAUCGCAAGACCCUGCGCUAUUGGAGCGGCCGAUGUCAGAUUAGCUAGUUGGUGGGUAAAAGCCUACCAAGGCGACGAUCUGUAGCUGGUCUGAGAGGACGACCAGCCACACUGGGACUGAGACACGGCCCAGACUCCUACGGGAGGCAGCAGGUGGGGAAUUUUGGACAAGUGGGCGCAAGCCUGAUCCAGCCAUCGCCGCGUGCGGGAAGAAGGCCUUCGGGUUGUAAACCGUCUUUUAGUCGAAGGGAAAGAACGGCUUACGAGACUAAGUACCCGAGUAAUGACCGUACUGAAAGAAUAAGACGAACCGGCUAAACGUACGUAGACCGAACGAA